Molecule: long non-coding RNA, 622 nt
Organism: Panicum virgatum (switchgrass)
Lineage: Eukaryota; Viridiplantae; Streptophyta; Magnoliopsida; Poales; Poaceae
Exons: 2
Source: RefSeq, a predicted model, not a curated record
GCGAGCCGCAAGCUGGAAAGGAAAGGAAAUGAGGGAGGGCAAAGGGGGACGACUUUAAAUGCUCUGCUCACGGGGGGUUGAUGAACGAACAAGGGCCUGAAGCUGUGAAGCACAACAAGUCCUGAGCACGAGUGCUCAUCUCAUCUCCAUCAGCAGCAGCAGCAGCAAUCGAUCCCUGACACAUUCAAGUCACGACCAAGCAACGCAUCGCAUGGAGAUGGAGACUGACUACAGAUUGCCGGAGGCAGCUGGCAGCAGCACAAGGGCUGAUGAUGAUGAACUGGAGUCAUCAUGUUUUUAACCCUGCAAAUUAGUAGUAAAGGGAAAGUAGUAGGGGUAGUUAAAACAAAGGCAAAGGAAAAGCUGCGAGCGGCCGGAGAUUAGCUGCUGGUGCUGGGUUAGGACCAAGAACAAGAGAUUCUUACCCAAAAAAAACAGAGAGAUUCUUGUCUUGGGCCAUGUUUAGGUGCGAAAACUUUUGGGUGUAAAAUACUGUAGCAUUUUUGUUUGUAUUUGGUAAUUAUUAUUUCGUCAUGGGUUAAUUAGGCUCAAAAGUUUCGUCUCGCAAAUUAUAGACAGAUUGUGUAAUUUAUUAUUUCGUUUAGUUACAUUUAAUACUUCA